RNAcentral lists this transfer RNA (76 nucleotides) under Gammaproteobacteria bacterium 28-57-27. Its description in RNAcentral is "tRNA-Lys". It matches the Rfam family "tRNA". Rfam says of the family: Transfer RNA (tRNA) molecules are approximately 80 nucleotides in length. Their secondary structure includes four short double-helical elements and three loops (D, anti-codon, and T loops). Lineage: Bacteria; Pseudomonadati; Pseudomonadota; Gammaproteobacteria. The record is from RNAcentral.
GGGUCGUUAGCUCAGUUGGUAGAGCAGUUGGCUUUUAACCAAUUUGUCGCAGGUUCGAGCCCCGCACGACCCACCA